This 397-nucleotide ribosomal RNA is filed under the name uncultured bacterium. RNAcentral describes it as "partial 16S ribosomal RNA". It matches the Rfam family "Bacterial small subunit ribosomal RNA", at positions 523 to 918 of the family's 1533-position model. The record is from RNAcentral.
AUACGAAGGGUGCAAGCGUUACUCGGAAUUACUGGGCGUAAAGCGUGCGUAGGCGGUUGUUUAAGUCGGUCGUGAAAGCUCCGGGCUUAACCUGGGAAUGGCGAUGGAAACUGGGCGACUAGAGUGUGGCAGAGGGAAGUGGAAUUCCUGGUGUAGCAGUGAAAUGCGUAGAGAUCAGGAGGAACAUCCGUGGCGAAGGCGACUGCCUGGGCCAACACUGACACUGAGGCACGAAAGCGUGGGGAGCAAACAGGAUUAGAUACCCUGGUAGUCCACGCCCUAAACGAUGCGAACUGGAUGUUGGGUGCAAUUUGGCACGCAGUAUCGAAGCUAACGCGUUAAGUUCGCCGCCUGGGGAGUACGGUCGCAAGACUGAAACUCAAAGGAAUUGACGGGG